UGCAAGUGGAGCGACGAACCUUUUAGGGGCAAAGCCGCGAACGGGUGAGUAACACGUGGGCAAUCUGCCCCGAUGACUGGAAUAACACGAGGAAACUCGUGCUAAUACCGGAUGUGCUUGCACCUCAUCAGAGGUGUCAGUAAAGGUAGCUUCGGCUAACCGCAUCGGGAGGAGCCUGCGCAGCAUUAGUUUGUUGGUGAGGUAACGGCUCACCAAGACUACGAUGCUUAGCUGGUCUGAGAGGACGAUCAGCCACACUGGAACUGAGACACGGUCCAGACUCCUACGGGAGGCAGCAGUGGGGAAUCUUGCACAAUGGGCGACAGCCUGAUGCAGCAAUGCCGCGUGAGGGAAGACGGCCUUCGGGUUGUAAACCUCUUUCAGUUGGGAUGAAGGUUGGACGGUGAAUAGCCGGCUCAACUGACCGUACCUUC
Molecule: ribosomal RNA, 434 nt
Filed under: uncultured bacterium
Lineage: Bacteria
Description: bacterial SSU rRNA
Rfam family: Bacterial small subunit ribosomal RNA
Source: RNAcentral